RNAcentral lists this ribosomal RNA (483 nucleotides) under uncultured Acidobacteriota bacterium. Its description in RNAcentral is "bacterial SSU rRNA". It matches the Rfam family "Bacterial small subunit ribosomal RNA", at positions 505 to 986 of the family's 1533-position model. The record is from RNAcentral. Lineage: Bacteria; Pseudomonadati; Acidobacteriota.
GUGCCAGCGCCGCGGUAAUACGGGGGGGGCAAGCGUUGUUCGGAUUUACUGGGCGUAAAGGGCUCGUAGGCGGCCAUCUAAGUCGGUUGUGAAAUCCCUCGGCUCAACCGGGGAACUGCAGUCGAUACUGGGUAGCUUGAAGCCGGGAGAGGGAUGCGGAAUUUCAGGUGUAGCGGUGAAAUGCGUAGAUAUCUGAAGGAACACCCGUGGCGAAGGCGGCAUCCUGGACCGGUCUUGACGCUGAGGAGCGAAAGCUAGGGGAGCGAACGGGAUUAGAUACCCCGGUAGUCCUAGCCCUAAACGAUGAAUGCUUGGUGUGGCGGGUAUCGAUCCCUGCCGUGCCGUAGCUAACGCGUUAAGCACUCCGCCUGGGAAGUACGGUCGCAAGAUUAAAACUCAAAUGAAUUGACGGGGGCCCGCACAAGCGGGUGGAGCAUGUGGUUUAAUUCGAAGCAACGCGAAGAACCUUAUCAGUCCUUGACA